AAUAAAGAAAGAAAGGGGAGAAGGGAACGGGAAUAAGAAGAGAAGAUGAGGGGAAGGUCAUCGCCACACCCUGUCUAGUCGUCGCCGCCAUUCCGUGGAGAUACCGCCAUCUUCGCACGAACCAGAGGGUGAUGGAGACGAAGAAGAAUGCACGCGAGAGAGGAAAAGCUGCCGUCAUUGAGGACUUCAUCACUGCCGCUGAAGGUCCCGACUGUCGAGCUCGUCGUCGCCGUCGCACCUCCUAUCCUUGCUGCCGCUGAGGAGCUCAAAGAGAGAGAAACGCGACGAGGGAGGAGGAGGUUGCCUCCGUCGCUGCUAAGCCAUCACUGGCGGGGUUGGGUCCACCCUCGUCGUCAUCAUCAAGCUGCGCGCCACCGUUGCCGUCGGGAUCUCCACUCUGUUUUUGCUGCAACUCGCUACUGUCUUUGUCUAUCUCUGGUUUCUAUCCAGUCUUCGUUGGAGUCCUCUGUUGCCGGAAAAACACUACUGGAGUUGCUGCAGUAUGUUGUUCUUGCCUUGAAACCCUCUCCGCUAGUGUAUAAGUAUUUUCUUAUGUUUGGUUAAAGAUUCUGAAGUAUUUGAUGUCGUAGGAUUGUGUACCAUUUUUGCAUGCUGGGUUUGUGGCUGCCAGAGUUGCUGUUGCAACAUUUUUUGUUGUUCCUCAUAAUAAGAUCGAAUCUGUUUUACCUCAUUUUGCCAUAAUAAUUUAUUCUAGUUUUGCUUAACCUCAAUUUUUGCGUUAAAUCCAAAUUAUGUUUGGUAGGUUGUUGCUAUGAUCAUUGCGGUUGCUUGAAAAUAAUCAAGGUUAUUGCUGCUGCUGAGAAUCAACAAUAAAAGAGAAAUUAUCGCAUUUCAAUUAUGCAAUUCUGAUAUUUUCAGGUGUGAAGGCUUAUUGUGAAGUUUUGGAAGCAUAGAAGAGUUUGUUUGUGAGUUGAGUUGUUGCUAGAAUUUAUUUUCCCCUCGUCU
Arachis duranensis is the source of this 966-nucleotide RNA transcript. RefSeq lists it as uncharacterized. NCBI's taxonomy places the organism in Eukaryota, Viridiplantae, Streptophyta, Magnoliopsida, Fabales, Fabaceae. The transcript has 2 exons. The record is from RefSeq and is a predicted model, not a curated record.